Molecule: small nucleolar RNA, 94 nt
Organism: Macadamia integrifolia
Lineage: Eukaryota; Viridiplantae; Streptophyta; Magnoliopsida; Proteales; Proteaceae
Product: small nucleolar RNA Z122
Exons: 1
Source: RefSeq, a predicted model, not a curated record
UUUGGGAAAUUAUGAAAAAGAAAAAUACAGGUAAAGCAGAUGCUCCAAAGGGUGUACUAUGCUGAAUGAUUUUGCACGUCAGUCUGAUCCCGAA